AGGAGAAAAGAGCAGUGAGAGCUGAGCCUGGUGGCCAAGGGGAAGAGGCAAGCAGGGAGCCUGGCAGGGCUGUCGGCCAGAGAAGAGAAGGGAAGGGGGACGAAGGGCUAGCUGAGGAACCCACAGGAAGUAUGUGGAUGGGUCACGCCUGUGUAACAGUGCUAUCUGAAGACAAGUCAGUGAGUCCACAAAAAGCUCCACUUUGGGUCUAGUAUCGCUGUAGCUACCUCAUCUCCAAGGAGCUUUGGAGGAGACAGAAGGGACCCGUGAUAAAAGCUACAGGUUUCCUAACUACCUUCAGUCUACUGGGAUCAAAUCUAGACCCCUUCCUUACCAGGAAGCCUCACUUACUCAUGCAGUAGAAGGAAAAACAACAACAAACCCUCUGUGAGAAGACGGUUUUCAGCACUCAGCUCUGCCCCCAUCUCCUGGAAGGAUGCCCUAGGCCCCACUGGAUGAGAAGAUACCUGUGCUGGGCCAGGACUUAGAUAU
Phascolarctos cinereus (koala) is the source of this 492-nucleotide non-coding RNA. The record is from RefSeq and is a predicted model, not a curated record. Lineage: Eukaryota; Metazoa; Chordata; Mammalia; Diprotodontia; Phascolarctidae.